Molecule: ribosomal RNA, 309 nt
Filed under: Triticum aestivum (bread wheat)
Lineage: Eukaryota; Viridiplantae; Streptophyta; Magnoliopsida; Poales; Poaceae
Description: partial small subunit ribosomal RNA
Source: RNAcentral
AUGCGUCCUCUGGCGAGUCAGUUGGCAGAAGAAGCUAACUUGAUGGUUCACCGAUCCUUCUAUGAUGCUAACAACAAACGGGUUGAGGCUGUCAUUCCAGAAGUGCAAAAUCUUAUUCCGCCAAUCCGUAAGCACACUUACACCCCUAACGUUGAUCCGGUUGAGCUUAUAAGUGAAGAGGUUGUCUUUCAGGCCUUAACCCGGAUUGACUGGACCACCACUGACUUCCAGCCAUUGGAUGGGGAGGAGGAGGCUGAACCGACGCCAGAUGACCCAUCUACUUCACAUCAACAUGGCGAUGAAGCUUGA